Molecule: ribosomal RNA, 339 nt
Filed under: uncultured soil bacterium
Lineage: Bacteria
Description: bacterial SSU rRNA
Rfam family: Bacterial small subunit ribosomal RNA
Source: RNAcentral
AGGACGAACGCUGGCGGCGUGCUUAACACAUGCAAGUCGAACGGUAAGGCCCCUUCGGGGGUACACGAGUGGCGAACGGGUGAGUAACACGUGGGUAAUCUGCCCUGCACUUCGGGAUAAGCCUGGGAAACUGGGUCUAAUACCGGAUAUGAGCUCCUGCCGCAUGGUGGGGGUUGGAAAGUUUUUCGGUGCAGGAUGAGUCCGCGGCCUAUCGAGUCUUGGUUGGGUGGGGUAAUGGACCCUACCAAGGCGACGGACGGGUAGCCGGCCUGGAGAGGGUGAUCGGCCACACUGGGACUGAGCACGGCCAGCUCCGUAGGGAGCAGCGAGGUGGGGAAU